GACGAACGCUGGCGGCGUGCUUAACACAUGCAAGUCGAACGGAAAGGCCCUGCUUGCAGGGUACUCGAGUGGCGAACGGGUGAGUAACACGUGGGUGAUCUGCCCUGCACUUCGGGAUAAGCCUGGGAAACUGGGUCUAAUACCGGAUAGGAGCCAUUUUUAGUGGGAUGGUUGGAAAGUUUUUUCGGUGUAGGAUGAGCUCGCGGCCUAUCAGCUUGUUGGUGGGGUAAUGGCCUACCAAGGCGGCGACGGGUAGCCGGCCUGAGAGGGUGGACGGCCACAUUGGGACUGAGAGACGGCCCAGACUCCUACGGGAGGCAGCAGUGGGGAAUAUUGCACAAUGGGCGCAAGCCUGAUGCAGCGACGCCGCGUGGGGGAGGACGGCCUUCGGGUUGUAAACUCCUUUCGCUAGGGACGAAGCUUUUUGUGACGGUACCUAGAGAAGAAGCACCGGCUAACUACGUG
Molecule: ribosomal RNA, 465 nt
Filed under: uncultured bacterium
Lineage: Bacteria
Description: partial 16S ribosomal RNA
Rfam family: Bacterial small subunit ribosomal RNA
Source: RNAcentral